GAGCGAGGGAGAGGAGAGAGUGAGAGGGGCAGCGAAUGAGAGCGCAAGGCAAAGGCAGGGAAACAGCGCCAGAGGAGACGAGGGAGAAGUGGACAGUUCUGUACAGGGACGCGGUUAAAGAUCAAAACACUGGCACCUAUGAUCUGGUUUCUAAUGGAAAGGCUUGGCUAACAGCGAAACUUGAGCAGCUGCAGCAAUCUUCAACUCUCCAAGGCCAGCAUUAACAAAAGCUAUAGUUCUUCAUCUAUCACAGCCUGGUUUAAGGCAGAAAGCCAGCAUUUGCCGCUUCCCACCUCUUUCCUGGAGACUCCUGGUUGUAAUAGACGGUAAUGGCCUAAGACAAAUCAACCCGUUCCUUGUAAAAAUAGCAGCAAAUAACCCCUGACUUUACGUCAUGAGUGCAACUGAAGAGAUUCUCGAUUCCGAAGGCCUCUUUCACAGUGGGCAUUAACCCUGGAUGGAGGCUCGGGCUGUGCCUAAAUAAAGCCACGAGUCUGGAAUACUUACAGCUUCAUCUCAUGACUCAGGAUGGAUUGGCUCCUGCUGUCAAGUCAUGUGUUCCCUCUGGACGAAACAAUGGUUUUCAGUGGUUCUUACAUCCUUAAGUGGCUUCAAAAAGCACCUAAAAUCAAUGACGAGGAAGCAGAGAGAGAGAGAGAGAGAGAGAGAGAGAGAGAGAGAGAGAGAGAGAGAGAGCUUUGAGUCUACAGUUUGUGAAGAGGCUAACAGUGGCAGUAAGAGACUUCCUGUAGCGUGAUUGAUGAGAAGCCAUUUCCGUGCUUCUCCUUUGCAGACAGCGCCCAGCUCGCCUCUGCUGCCGCAGCAUCUAAAGGGCUCUCUCCGAGGAGAAGGCUUUUCUUCAAGCCAUCAAAUGGAGCGUCCCAGCCCGGAACAAAGCCAGUCGCUGGUGUGGGUGAGUGGAGAGAGAGGACUUGCCCACCUGUGUGAGACUAAGGCCUGAAGAAAGAACAAGAAGUGCAUGUUACAUGCAUUAGGCAUUCUUGCAUCCUCAGUAAGGCUUUUUUUAAUGUAUGAAUGCCUGAAAAAAUUACCAUUCAAAACAAGUUUUUGAGAUGCAUUGCAAAAAGAUGCAAUUAAACACACAACCACAACCCACAUCCAAAUUAAGGACAUCUACAAGGCAAAAAACCCAGGCAUUUAUCCAGCAUACUACCAGCAUCUACUUCCAAUUUUAAUCUAAACUCCACCCAUGUGGCCCAGUGGGUGUUACAACCUCUAUUACAAUACAUUUCAACACAUUUCACAAUACUUUAAAACAAAAUUAGUAAACAAAAGACUGAGUCAUUGUGUCAUUAUCCAAAGAAACUUGUAGUAAAUGUGCUAUAAAUAAAAUUUUACUAAACACUGCCUAUGACACUUAUAGACAUUAUUACAUCUGAGUUUUAAGGCUUUCCGAUCCUAAAAUAUCUAUUCACAAUAAUUGUGGUAAAAUAAUUAUUUAAUAAGCUGUAUUAAAGAAGCACAAUGCUGAUUGGUCGUCAGUUGCUGAGAGUCCUAGAAAAAGCACAGUUGCCACUAAUUGUUCAGCGUUGGCAUUCCUGUCUCCCCAACUGAAUAAAGUAACACUAAACAUU
This is a long non-coding RNA of Trichomycterus rosablanca, 1595 nucleotides long. RefSeq lists it as uncharacterized. The transcript has 7 exons. The record is from RefSeq and is a predicted model, not a curated record. NCBI's taxonomy places the organism in Eukaryota, Metazoa, Chordata, Actinopteri, Siluriformes, Trichomycteridae.